Molecule: long non-coding RNA, 829 nt
Filed under: Paramuricea clavata
Lineage: Eukaryota; Metazoa; Cnidaria; Anthozoa; Malacalcyonacea; Plexauridae
Source: RNAcentral
UAGAAGCAUUUUAAAAAGUGACGUGAUAUUUGUUUCUUCCCUUUUAUUUAUUUCUUCCCUCCAGAGCUGCCACUCUCAAUAGCCUAUUUUCACCUAAGGCUAGUACUAAAAUCCCCUACUUUUCCCUAGCUACAAGUCAAUGUGUAAUUUUCCCCUACAUUCCCCUACGUUCCCCUACAAAUAUCGCAUUUCCCCUGUAAUCCUGAAUUAUCAUCUACGAUACAGAUGUUUCCGGUUUUUAAUAUAACGAUAAUAUAUUCUAUUUAUUAAAUUGCGCAAACCUUAACAAAACAAAACCACAAACUAUUACUCAAAAAUUCACUCAAAUUCACUCAAAAAUUCAAGAAAUAGCGAAACAUUCUUCUGCACUAAUGCACUUGGAUGAAUAUUUAAGUUGUUGGGAAAAAAUCCUUAGAUUUCCUUAGAUUUUUUCUCUUCCUUAGAUUUUCCUUUUCGACACUAGAAUUUCCUUAGAAAAGGAAAUUUCCUUGAAAAUGGAAGCAUUGUCGUGGAGACCGGAGACGUGGAGUUAUUAUAUCACAUAUUCCAGUGCUUCCACAUUCAAUUCAAAUCUAAAUUUCUAGUUGUUUCCAUGAAAAAUCCUGAUUAUCCUGCAGUUCAAUAGUGCUAGUUCCAUUUUGUAAUUCAUAAUACCAUAAACAGACACACAAUUUUUUUUUCAAUUCAAACCGUGAAGAAAUCCCCUACGCUCCCCUACAGAUUACCCUUUCUCCCCGUAGGUAUUCCCCACUCCCUACAAGAUGUCAUAAUCCCCCACUGUAGGGGAAUCCCCCUACGAGUGGCAGCCUUGCAGUUCCCUCGCCUUUUC